UAAUACGGAGGUAGCGAGCGUUGUUCGGAUUUACUGGGUGUAAAGGACAUGUAGGCGUCUUAUUAAGUCGGAUGUGAAAUCCUUUGGCUUAACCAAAGAACUGCAUUCGAUACUGGUAAGAUUGAGUACUGGAGAGGUAAGCGGAAUUCCGGAAGUAAGGGUGAAAUCUGUAGAUAUCCGGAAGAACACCAUUAGCGAAGGCGGCUUACUGGCCAGAUACUGACGCUGAGGUGUGAAAGCUAGGGGAGCGAACAGGAUUAGAUACCCUGGUAGUCCUAGCUGUAAACGAUGGGCACUAGGUGCAGGUCCGCAAGGGGCUGUGUCGUAGCUAACGCGUUAAGUGCCCCACCUGGGGACUACGGUCGCAAGGCUA
Molecule: ribosomal RNA, 373 nt
Filed under: uncultured bacterium
Lineage: Bacteria
Description: bacterial SSU rRNA
Rfam family: Bacterial small subunit ribosomal RNA
Source: RNAcentral